This is a long non-coding RNA of Mustela lutreola (European mink), 1575 nucleotides long. RefSeq lists it as uncharacterized. NCBI's taxonomy places the organism in Eukaryota, Metazoa, Chordata, Mammalia, Carnivora, Mustelidae. The transcript has 3 exons. The record is from RefSeq and is a predicted model, not a curated record.
UCAACUCUUGGCCCACGAGGCCUUUAGCCACGGCUGCCGGGUGUGUGCAGCUAGCCAGAGUCUGGGCGAGCCGGUGGCCCAGGGGGAGGGGAGGCCACUUGCGGGUGGAGCGGUAUCAUGGGCAGCAAGAAGCGUGGGCCUCACGGCUGAGUAGGGCCCCUCCAAUGUGCUCACCGGCUGGUGUGUUUUCAGUGUACAUGGUAACAUUUGCAAAGUAAGAUAGGUCUGUAUUCUUUUCCUUAAAAAUGAACCCCCAGAUGCUGGAAUUGCGCGAAGCUGAGGACAAGAAGGUAGGUAGGGACAUGCUUAUGCCAGGAGGGCUGGCACCUGCUUUUGCCUUAGCCGCCACCAUGCUGGGGACCCGAGGCCUGUGAAGGACACUUUCCAGGAACCCUUAGUCGCAAACGACCCUCUAGGGCUGCUUCUACUUCAGGGCCCUCACGGGCCACCUCUGCAGGAAGCCAGCCCUGAUCACCCGCAGCAGGCUAGGCCACCCUCCUCUGGACUCUCCUGGACCUACAGCCCCUCCCUCCCUCCUUCCCGCUGUUUAUUGCAUGCCUGCUGCCUGCACAGUACGACAGAGGAACCAGCGGGAAGACUCCAGGGCCUUGUUGUGCGUGGUAGAGCCCCGACCGUGCCUCCAAGCGGAACAGCCUGUGCUGCGUUUGCUGGUGCAACCACUCCCCUGUGCUGCCUGGAAAUGAGUUCUAGGUCAAAUAGAAGUGGUGAGAGCGGACAUCCUUGUCUUGCUCCUGAUCUUAGAGCAAAAGCUCUCAUCCUUCCACCACCAAGGACGAUGCAGACUACGGGUGCAUCAUGUGUGGCCUUUAUCAUGUCAAGGUAUGUGACCUUGGGCAGGUAACCCACAUCUCACACUCUCAGUGUGUCCCCUGGGGAAGUGGAUUUACAUCUACCGCAGUUGGUGUGAGGACAGAAGAGUCACCACACCCUGGCCUAGGCAGGGCUGCGUGUGGACACACAGGAGGGCUGCGUGUACUUCCCCUCCCUGACCACAGCAACACCGGCUUCUGCUGCCUGUCCCCUCUCCUGGCUCCUCACACACGACAUAGGCCCCAGAGUUGUUUCCCAGGCUGAGAGAUCCAUAGGCCUCAGGGACCUUACUGAUUAUGAAAUGUCCCGCGUGAGAAAUUUGGAGGCCACCUCUCUUCCAUUGCAUUUAUCUCCCCUCCCAAGACAGUCACCGUGUAAUGCAAAACACAGCCUCCCUUUCACCCCAAACUCCACGUCGCACGGGUAGAAAAUGUCUCUCGCUUGCUGCCGGGGGAGAGUCCCAAAUCUGCAGUUUGGUCCAGCCGGCCCAGGCUCUCUCCGCCCUGAUGAGGGCCCUGCCUGCAGGCCUGCCAGGCUGUCGCCGCCGGGCAGUCCCUCUCAUGAUAAAUUGGACAAGCGGUCUAGACACUACGUGAUUGUCUCUGUGUCUGGCUGCGAGGGCGGGUGGAUGAUGUCAGCAGCCUCGUGCUGGGGGCGUGGCCGGCUCCGGGCAGCCAGGGCAGUCACGAGUCACCAGCAGGAGAAGGGCUCCUCCACGCACAGCCUGUGUUCCCUGUGGGAUGA